GAGUGACUUUUAUGCGCUUCUAACUGUUGCAGAUCCUGAGAAGUUCAAAAGAGCAGCCAGGCGAGAUGAAUGUAACAUUCACUUCAGCAAUGAUCAAAUCCAUACAUGAAAAUUGCCACUGGUUAGGCCGAUGCCUGUGCAUUCUGUAAUAUUGGUGCUUGUGCAAGCCCCUUCCUGCUGUUACCUCAUUUAAUGUUCUCAACGAGCCUGCAACCCUGUGAAGUAGGCACCGUGGUCUCCAUUGUAGAAGUGAGAGUGGUGUGGGUUCUGAGAGCCCGAGUCUUCUUACGGGGUCUGUGGAGCUCACAAGUGGCUGAACCAAGGUUUUAACCUGAGUUUGUUCUGAAGUUCCUGGAAUGGCCCCCUUUACCGAAAGAGCUGAGUGACUUACUGAGCCCAAAGGAAAGGUCACCUCCCCCACGGAGAAGAUCCUCUGUCUUCAUCAUCCCAAAUUGUUGCCCCAGUGUUUCUGCUUAGACAUAUUCAACCUCCCUCAGGCACCUUCUGAGAAACUAUAUCAUGAUGAGAAGGCUUUCUGACUUUAUCAGCUGCCAGCAGAAGGUGCUCCGACAUCGAGGGUGGCUUUCCCUGCUUCAGAUGACUGGUCAGACACACCUUGACAGGGACCGGAGAGAUGGCUGGGCAGCGAAGAGUACAAACCACACGUGCAAGGACUUGAGUUCUGUUCCCAGUGCUCACAUCUGAUGGCUCACAACCACCUAUAACUCUAGCUCCAGGGGAACCCAAGGCAUUUGGUCUCCCGAAGGCCUCUACACUGGUGGGCAAAAGCCCACAUUCGCAUUCAUAUAUACAUCAUUUAAAACACAGUAAAUCUUUAUUUUUAAAUGAAAAAUAAAAAUCACACCGCAGGAAUGCCAACAGCUUUUCUGGUAGUUGAUUCCAAAUCUAAUAAAGUUGAUAACCGA
This 926-nucleotide small RNA is filed under the name Rattus norvegicus (Norway rat). Its description in RNAcentral is "uncharacterized LOC102551977". Lineage: Eukaryota; Metazoa; Chordata; Mammalia; Rodentia; Muridae. The record is from RNAcentral.